Molecule: non-coding RNA, 1158 nt
Organism: Cricetulus griseus (Chinese hamster)
Lineage: Eukaryota; Metazoa; Chordata; Mammalia; Rodentia; Cricetidae
Source: RefSeq, a predicted model, not a curated record
GCCAGCGCGGCAGCGACCAAUCAGCGCGCGAGGGGGCGGGCCCGGAGAGAACCAUUGGGCCGCGCUCCUGUCCCGAGGCGCGCCCGGCCUGGGGGCGCUCUGGGCUGAAGAGAGCUGAAGAAAGUUACACCUCUACUAGAGAACUGCUGGCCAAAGGAGCCCUUGGAACCCUUGGGUGGAGAAUUGGAAACAACAACAAAACACCGAUCUGGCCUCAGCGUGACCUCAGACAAUGAGUCCUCAAAAACCUAAUACUUUUCUAACGCUGGGUCUACGUUGUUGAAGAGAGCAGAGGCCAUGUGAAGAAGGGGCUGGAGGAAGGAAGCAGUUCCUGGCAUCGUAACUUUGAUGACUUCUUCAGAGGACCUGACCUUCAGAUGGGAGCCGGGUGAUCUUGGAGUUGAAGCGGGAUUACAGCCUUCCACCCUUCCACCCUUGUAGCGGGAACCAGCAACCAGAGUUCCUGGCAGCUGCUCUCCACAGGCAGCGACUCAGCUGUUCUCUUCCCAGCUCUGCCUAGGCACAUAGGUGGGGAAGGGGGCCCUGGGGAGUUGCAACAGCCGGCAGCCAUGGUUAAGUUGGUCUCCCCCAGCCCAAAGCGUGUUUGGGAAAAAAGAGAGGCAGGUAGGGCUUCUCUAGUCUGGCUGAUCCUAGUGCACAGACAAGGAGGGACCCUAGUUCUCAGAUACUGCCCCAAGGCCAGCUUCAGAGUCGUGAGCUUUGGAUAAAUGGUCAGAUCUCAGUAGCCCAGUUGCAUUGGCCUAAUAGGUCUUUUUCUGGGUGGCUGUAUGAAGCCCACUUGGAGAGUUAGGCAGGAGGACCAGGAGCUCAAGGCUAGCUUGGGAUCCUGUUUCAAAAACCACAAAACAAACAAAAAACCAAGCAAAGAAUAGCUACCACCAUUGCCAAUACUAUUAACAUGUUUUAACUAGUUCAUCUUCAAUAGUGACUAUUUUUGUCCCUACUUCACACACAGAGGGGAAAAAUUAAAUAGUUCAUGGUAUCAAUAGAACUUCAAAACAAAACACUCUAAGAAGUCUCCCAGAACCCCAGGGGGUCUGAGUUCAUCACUGCAGGGGUGCACUCCGCUUUGGAGUGCACACUGGCCAAGAAGUCUGGGAGUCUGGUUUUGUGAUGAAGGUGUUCUAGACUGUGUCA